GCCAGGGGUCAUAUGCUCAGUUAAAAGAUUAAGCCAUGCACGUGUAAGUUCACAUCUUUUAUGGUGAAACCGCGAAUGGCUCAUUACAACAGCUAUAAUUUACUUGAUGUUGACUAUCCUACUUGGAUAACUGCGGUAAUUCUGGAGCUAAUACAUGCAUCAAAGCUCUGACACCCUCGGAGCGCAUUUAUUAGAACAAAACCAAUCGGCUUUGGCCGUUUGUUGUUGACUCUGAAUAACUUAGCUGAUCGCAUGGUCUUGUACCGGCGACAUAUCUUUCAAGUAUCUGCCUUAUCAACUUUCGAUGGUAGUUUAUGUGCCUACCAUGGUUGCAACGGGUAACGGAAAAUAAGGGUUUGGUAUUCCGGAGAGGGAGCCUGAGAAACGGCUACCACAUCUAAGGAAGGCAGCAGGCGCGCAAAUUACCCACUGGAGGUGCUCCGAGGUAGUGACUAACAAUAACGAGACCGUCUUCUAUGAGGCCGGUUAUC
This 491-nucleotide ribosomal RNA is filed under the name uncultured eukaryote. RNAcentral's name for it is "SSU rRNA". It matches the Rfam family "Eukaryotic small subunit ribosomal RNA", at positions 16 to 510 of the family's 1831-position model. The record is from RNAcentral.